UCCAUGGACCAGGAAAUUCGCUUUCCGUGUAGUGAUGGCAGCAGAAACGAAUUGAGGGCAGGACCGAGAUUCUUCUCGGCUACGGCGUGUGUCAUUUGGAAGCUGAAGACCCGGGGACGGAGGCAACUGGCGUCGCCGGCAUGCCGCCAUGGAGUUUCUGGUGCAACUAAUUAGCAGAUUUAGUCUGCUUGAGGAGGUAGGGGAGCCGGUUCCUGUGGUUGUCAAUGUCUCUGCCAUGGCGGAUCUGCAAGUGGCAUUGCAGGCGGAGCGGGAGGCAGCGCAACGGCGGUGGACAGCGGCGAAGCACAAAUCUUCUUGGCAAAGGAGGCGGCGGCGAACAGAAGGGAGAGCUCGCCACCAAAGUCGGAGCUGUCGACGGGGAAGAUGAAUCCCCAAGCACCGGGGUGGAACAAAAGGUGGAGAGGCGUCCCAAUGAUAGCCACAACAAGUUCAGGAAGAAUCUUGGAGCACCUUUUGUCAAGGAUUUGAACUUUUCAAGCCAUCUCUGCUCUCUUUCGGCUCCGCUUGAUGGAUGACCAAAAGUAGCUUUAUAUCCCCAUGAAAGUCUCGAAUGUUCCAAUUGUGAGGGUUUGAUUGAGAUAUGGAAAAGCCACAAGAAGAAUCGUGCUUCUGUUCUACCUAUUCUCCUUGAAAUCCAAGAGCUCAGUGGUUCUUUUUUUUUAUUUUCCAGUUCAGCUUUGUAAGGCUUGAGUUAAAUUUAGCUGCACAUUUAACUGCCAAACAUGCUUCUAGCUCCUUGCCGGAGUGUGCGCGGUUCUACUAGGUCCCGGCAUCUCUGAACAAUUGUAUACAGCAUGAACUUGCUGUUGUUGGUCAAGUAAUAUAAGCUAUUGCUUCCCCAAAAAACACAGUUGGCUUGCAGGGUAAAGACACCAUGCCCGUCGCACGUGACUGCCUUUUGUUUCUGAACAAUCAUAGGUGCAGCACAGCCUUGCAGGACACUGUGCCUGUCACGCGUGACUGCCUAAAAGCCAUGAGCGGUUUUGCAUAGAACCCUACAGAGAAUGUGAUUGUACCACAGUAGAUACAAGUUUCGACUCCCUCGGAGAGGCGUACAAUUUUUACAACAUAUAUUCAUGGGAGAAUGAUUUUGGCAUAAGGUAUUGGAAGAGCAGAUUGAGUGUAGAGAGGACGUAUUGCAUGCAGGAUAUCAUCUGCGGAUGCUUGGUGAGUACCAUGAAAAUGUGUCCCCGUAUGGUUUGAAACUUUGUUCAGUUUUAUCAAUGAACUGUCCUAUUCCUGAAAUGUAAGCCAUCGAUUUUAUCCGUGUGAAUCAGAUUCCAGUCAAACAUAUAGUGAAGAGGUGGACAAAGGAAGCCUACUGCCAGCACACCUGGCCCAUUAUCAUAAGGAUCAAAUGUAUAGGAAUCCAUUCUCGUAUUGACACAUCAGAAUGUACAUGCAGAGGUGCUGAAUGUGAUUUGGACUGCAGAGAAGGGAAAGUUGUGAGUGCGGAUCUGAACUGUUCAUUAUGUAAUUCGAGAUACAGUUUUUAGAGUCGUAACUGACGAUGAUCCAUUUCACAUGUAUUGUUUUGGUGUUGUAUUGAUCUGCUGUUGUUGCA
Non-coding RNA from Triticum urartu, 1585 nucleotides. Lineage: Eukaryota; Viridiplantae; Streptophyta; Magnoliopsida; Poales; Poaceae. The record is from RefSeq and is a predicted model, not a curated record.